AGUGCAUGUUUCAAAUGCUUAGCUGCCUAUAAAGCUGUAACAGUUCAGCCUGUGGCUACUGAGGGAAGAAUAUAAGUUAACCUCUGUAGUGACCAUGUGGAAGUCCCGACCUUGCUUGCAGACUUGACCUCUGGAUAUGACAAGGUAGCUUCAAUACAGAUCUACCAUUUAAUCCUGGAAACUAAAAACAAACCAAAAAAUUCUCACAGCAAGAAAGAUGCAGAAUAUUUCCUGAGAAGUCAGAAGACCCCAAUGUAUUCUGGUGGGCAAAGGAAACAGGGUGAAUGUUUACAGUUAUUUGGGGGGAGUGAGGAAAAGAAGCGCUGAUUCAGCAAACAGAAUGAAGAAACAAUCAAGAUGAGAUGGCUGCUGCUGAUGUGACUCUCUAGGUCAUUAUCUCUCUUCCUGCUGCUAAUGCUGCAUGACACUAAGCUUACAGGAUCUAGAAGCAAACUACAAAAUAAGAAGAAAUUUGCUCUGAAGACUAUGAAGAAACACUAGGCUGAUCGUACCAAUUUCUGAAAUAAUAUACUCUGUAAAUCCCCACUGAUUCUAAGGAUCUCUUGCAAAAAGAACCCAACCAGGACAAAGUUCAACAUAUAACUGGUCAAUAUUUAGAAGUAUAUGUCCAUCAAGAACAAGGAACCAUGAAUGGCACUAAUGCCAUGCUUCAGUUUUUGGUCUUUGCCUAUUUUCUCAAACAGAUACUAAAAGCAAAACCGCUCAAGUAGAAGUCCACAACGACUUGACAACCAUUCUUCAUAAGGUGCCUACUAUGAGCUCAGUACAGUUCUGGACACUGGAGAUACAACAAUGCACAAGGGUUCUUCCUUAUGGAUGGCUAAAGUACAAAUGUUGACUUGACGAAAAUAAAAUAGUGGGCUGGAGGACUAUUUAUGUGGCUCUCGGUAUCAAAUAAUCUCCCUACAACUGUCUGAACUUGACUAAUCAGAGACUGAUUUGAAUGAACUGGAAAAUAAAAUAUUCACCCAGCUGGGAAAAAAAGGUCAUGUGAUGACACAGGGACACACAGACUUACAGGGAACAAGACCAUGUGAAGAAAGAGGCGGAGAAAUGAGUGAUGCAUUGACAAGCCAAUGAACGCCAAGGACUACUGACAACCACCAGAAGCCAGGAGACAGGCAUGGAAGAGAUUCUCCCAGAGUCUCCAGGAGAAACCAGUCUUGCCAACACCUUGACUUUGGACUUCUAGCCUCCAGAAUUGCAAAAAGAAUAAAUUUCUGUUGUGAAGCCACUCUGUCUGUGGUAAUUUCUUACAGCAACCCUAGGAAACUAAGACACCAUCUAAACAAUAUUAAAUCUUCUGCUCCAUAAACAUGAACUGUCUUUCCAUUUAUUUAGGUCAUCUUUAAUUUCCUUCAACAAUGUUUUAUAGUUUUUGGUAUACAAAUCUUAUAUUUA
Molecule: long non-coding RNA, 1422 nt
Organism: Hippopotamus amphibius kiboko
Lineage: Eukaryota; Metazoa; Chordata; Mammalia; Artiodactyla; Hippopotamidae
Exons: 6
Source: RefSeq, a predicted model, not a curated record